Molecule: ribosomal RNA, 273 nt
Filed under: uncultured bacterium
Lineage: Bacteria
Description: partial 16S ribosomal RNA
Rfam family: Bacterial small subunit ribosomal RNA
Source: RNAcentral
UACGUAGGUGGCAAGCGUUGUCCGGAAUUAUUGGGCGUAAAGCGCUCGCAGGCGGUCCUUUAAGUCUGAUGUGAAAUCUCGCGGCUCAACCGCGAACGGUCAUUGGAAACUGGAGGACUUGAGUACAGAAGAGGAGAGUGGAAUUCCACGUGUAGCGGUGAAAUGCGUAGAGAUGUGGAGGAACACCAGUGGCGAAGGCGACUCUCUGGUCUGUAACUGACGCUGAGGAGCGAAAGCGUGGGGAGCGAACAGGAUUAGAAACCCCCGUAGUCC